Molecule: unclassified non-coding RNA, 396 nt
Filed under: fungal sp.
Lineage: Eukaryota; Fungi
Description: partial internal transcribed spacer region
Rfam family: Eukaryotic small subunit ribosomal RNA (bases 1-46)
Source: RNAcentral
AAGUCGUAACAAGGUUUCCGUAGGUGAACCUGCGGAAGGAUCAUUAACACGUAUCCACGUUUAUCAACAAUUAUCACCGAACUCGUUCUCUCCGAACAACCUAACUCCUAGCUGUCUAGAUGGGAUUAUAAUGGGUCCCUGUUCUGCUGCAAAGCGGGGCAGUGUGGCAUAUUCUGUCAGGCUUUCACUCCUCGAGAGUGUGGCGAAGUACCUGGAUUGUCGGACCAACUAUCAUUCUAUUGAUCCAACCAUUUUGGGUCGUAGUCUGGUCACCAUACCAAUUUCACCCUAUUUUACCCAUUUGACUAAUUACUACAUUCUUAGGGAGAAAUCCUUUUGAAUUCUAAGAUUUAUCUUAACUAAGCACAACUCUUAGCAAUGGAUAUCUUGGUUCUC